GUUAAGUUGCAGGGUAUAGACCCGAAACCCGGUGAUCUAGCCAUGGGCAGGUUGAAGGUUGGGUAACACUAACUGGAGGACCGAACCGACUAAUGUUGAAAAAUUAGCGGAUGACUUGUGGCUGGGGGUGAAAGGCCAAUCAAACCGGGAGAUAGCUGGUUCUCCCCGAAAGCUAUUUAGGUAGCGCCUCGUGAAUUCAUCUCCGGGGGUAGAGCACUGUUUCGGCAAGGGGGUCAUCCCGACUUACCAACCCGAUGCAAACUGCGAAUACCGGAGAAUGUUAUCACGGGAGACACACGGCGGGUGCUAACGUCCGUCGUGAAGAGGGAAACAACCCAGACCGCCAGCUAAGGUCCCAAAGUCAUGGUUAAGUGGGAAACGAUGUGGGAAGGCCCAGACAGCCAGGAUGUUGGCUUAGAAGCAGCCAUCAUUUAAAGAAAGCGUAAUAGCUCACUGGUCGAGUCGGCCUGCGCGGAAGAUGUAACGGGGCUAAACCAUG
RNAcentral lists this ribosomal RNA (499 nucleotides) under Escherichia coli. RNAcentral's name for it is "partial 23S ribosomal RNA". It matches the Rfam family "Bacterial large subunit ribosomal RNA", at positions 694 to 1191 of the family's 2925-position model. The record is from RNAcentral. Lineage: Bacteria; Pseudomonadati; Pseudomonadota; Gammaproteobacteria; Enterobacterales; Enterobacteriaceae.